Molecule: ribosomal RNA, 621 nt
Filed under: uncultured bacterium
Lineage: Bacteria
Description: bacterial SSU rRNA
Rfam family: Bacterial small subunit ribosomal RNA (bases 1-533)
Source: RNAcentral
CCUACGGGAGGCAGCAGUGAGGAAUAUUGGACAAUGGGCGCAAGCCUGAUCCAGCCAUGCCGCGUGCAGGAUGAAGCAUCUAUGGUGUGUAAACUGCUUUUAUACAGGAAGAAACCUCCCGACGUGUCGGGAAUUGACGGUACUGUAAGAAUAAGGAUCGGCUAACUCCGUGCCAGCAGCCGCGGUAAUACGGAGGAUCCAAGCGUUAUCCGGAAUCAUUGGGUUUAAAGGGUCCGUAGGCGGGCCAGUAAGUCAGUGGUGAAAUCUCUCCGCUCAACGGGGAAAUGGCCAUUGAUACUGCUGGUCUUGAAUUAUUAGGAAGUAACUAGAAUAUGUAGUGUAGCGGUGAAAUGCUUAGAGAUUACAUGGAAUACCAAUUGCGAAGGCAGGUUACUACUAAUGGAUUGACGCUGAUGGACGAAAGCGUGGGUAGCGAACAGGAUUAGAUACCCUGGUAGUCCACGCCGUAAACGAUGGAUACUAGCUGUUGGGGGCAACUUCAGUGGCUAAGCGAAAGUGAUAAGUAUCCCGCCGNGGAGGUAACGUCGUCGAGAAGUAGAACGUUACGAAGAGUUAGUUAGGCGGNGNGAGACGCGACGACGACGACGACGGAGGAGGAGG